ACAAUAUUUGGACCGUCUCGGUCUACCGAGCAAUAUCCACCCGCUCGGUGGAAGAUCUUCCCUUUGUCGA
RNAcentral lists this microRNA precursor (70 nucleotides) under Bombyx mori (domestic silkworm). RNAcentral's name for it is "mir-2774 microRNA precursor family". It matches the Rfam family "mir-2774 microRNA precursor family". Lineage: Eukaryota; Metazoa; Arthropoda; Insecta; Lepidoptera; Bombycidae. The record is from Rfam by way of RNAcentral.